Molecule: ribosomal RNA, 253 nt
Filed under: uncultured bacterium
Lineage: Bacteria
Description: partial 16S ribosomal RNA
Rfam family: Bacterial small subunit ribosomal RNA
Source: RNAcentral
UACGUAGGUGGCAAGCGUUGUCCGGAUUUAUUGGGUUUAAAGGGUGCGUAGGCGGCUUAUUAAGUCAGUGGUGAAAGACGGUAGCUUAACUAUCGAGGUGCCAUUGAUACUGAUGAGCUUGAGUACUGAUGAGGUAGGCGGAAUGGACGGUGUAGCGGUGAAAUGCAUAGAUAUCGUCCAGAACACCGAUAGCGAAGGCAGCUUACGAAGGAGUAAUUGACGGUGAGGCACGAAAGUGUGGGGAUCAAACAGG